GGAGAAGUACUCAAGUGGCUGAAGAGGCUCCCCUGCUAAGGGAGUAGGUCCUAAUUUACGGGGCGCGAGGGUUCAAAUCCCUCCUUCUCCG
RNAcentral lists this transfer RNA (91 nucleotides) under Fenollaria massiliensis. RNAcentral's name for it is "Clostridiales bacterium 9401234 tRNA". It matches the Rfam family "tRNA". Rfam says of the family: Transfer RNA (tRNA) molecules are approximately 80 nucleotides in length. Their secondary structure includes four short double-helical elements and three loops (D, anti-codon, and T loops). The record is from Rfam by way of RNAcentral. Lineage: Bacteria; Bacillati; Bacillota; Clostridia; Eubacteriales.